Non-coding RNA from Paramuricea clavata, 529 nucleotides. The record is from the annotation of a GenBank genome assembly. NCBI's taxonomy places the organism in Eukaryota, Metazoa, Cnidaria, Anthozoa, Malacalcyonacea, Plexauridae.
AUGAAAUUAAUCGCGAUAUCACGCCUUACGUCAUCAAUUAGCGAGCCUGCGUUCCUUAUGACAAUGUUCCACCCCAUGUUCCCCGGGGAACAUGGGGUGGAACAUUAUUCGCGUAGACCGCGCGAGACAACACGCAUGACAAAAACAUGGCCGACAAAAUAUAAAUAGUAUUGAUGAGUGAUGAAUAAUCAAAUUUUAAACGUAAAACCUGGGGCUUUUUCAAAAUUUUGAAGCAAAUUUUGAAAAAAUGUUGUCAUUAAUAUUCCAAACGAUAUGUGAUUCGAAAGAAAAUCGACGAAUACUUGUGUUAAUCCGAAAAUAAAACAUCGUAUUCACGAAGGUAUGUGUCAAGUUUUUAAUUCUCAACUUGGAGGCUUUUAAUUUUCGGUAUAAUAUAUCAUUUAUAGACCCUCCGCUCGGGGGAUUCGGCGAAAUAUUACCCUCAGUGAUGAUAUUUCCCUCGGGGCAAAGCCCCUCGGGAAAUAUCAUCACUUUGGGUAAUAUUUCGCCGAAUCCCCCUCGCUCCAGG